AACGAACGCUGGCGGCAUGCCUAACACAUGCAAGUCGAACGAGGCCUUCGGGUGUAGUGGCGCACGGGUGCGUAACGCGUGGGAACCUGUCCUUAGGAUCGGAAUAACUUCCUGCAUGGGGUGCUAAUACCGGAUAUAGUCCUCUCACUACGGACUUAUCGCUUUUAGAUGGGCCCGCGUUGGUUUAGCUAGUCGGUAGAUUAAACGCCAAACAAGGUAACCUUCCAUAGCUCGUCUGAGUGGAUGAUCAGCCACACUGGGACUGAGACGCGGCCCAGACUCCAACGGGCGGCGGCAGUGUAGAAUAUUCGACAACGGGCCAACGCCUGAUCCAGCUGUGACGCGUGGGUGAUGGAGGCCUUAAGGUUGUAGAGCUCGUUUUCCCGGGAUGGUCAAGACAGUGCCCUGAGAAUAAGCUCCGGCUAACUCCGUG
RNAcentral lists this ribosomal RNA (433 nucleotides) under uncultured bacterium. RNAcentral's name for it is "partial 16S ribosomal RNA". It matches the Rfam family "Bacterial small subunit ribosomal RNA", at positions 29 to 507 of the family's 1533-position model. The record is from RNAcentral.